RNAcentral lists this ribosomal RNA (1497 nucleotides) under Salmonella enterica. RNAcentral describes it as "partial 23S ribosomal RNA". It matches the Rfam family "Bacterial large subunit ribosomal RNA", at positions 711 to 2188 of the family's 2925-position model. Lineage: Bacteria; Pseudomonadati; Pseudomonadota; Gammaproteobacteria; Enterobacterales; Enterobacteriaceae. The record is from RNAcentral.
AGACCCGAAACCCGGUGAUCUAGCCAUGGGCAGGUUGAAGGUUGGGUAACACUAACUGGAGGACCGAACCGACUAAUGUUGAAAAAUUAGCGGAUGACCUGUGGCUGGGGGUGAAAGGCCAAUCAAACCGGGAGAUAGCUGGUUCUCCCCGAAAGCUAUUUAGGUAGCGCCUCGUGAAUUCAUCUCCGGGGGUAGAGCACUGUUUCGGCUAGGGGGCCAUCCCGGCUUACCAACCCGAUGCAAACUGCGAAUACCGGAGAAUGUUAUCACGGGAGACACACGGCGGGUGCUAACGUCCGUCGUGAAGAGGGAAACAACCCAGACCGCCAGCUAAGGUCCCAAAGUCAUGGUUAAGUGGGAAACGAUGUGGGAAGGCCCAGACAGCCAGGAUGUUGGCUUAGAAGCAGCCAUCAUUUAAAGAAAGCGUAAUAGCUCACUGGUCGAGUCGGCCUGCGCGGAAGAUGUAACGGGGCUAAACCAUGCACCGAAGCUGCGGCAGCGACGCUGAUGCGUUGUUGGGUAGGGGAGCGUUCUGUAAGCCUGCGAAGGUGGCCUGUGAGGGUUGCUGGAGGUAUCAGAAGUGCGAAUGCUGACAUAAGUAACGAUAAAGCGGGUGAAAAGCCCGCUCGCCGGAAGACCAAGGGUUCCUGUCCAACGUUAAUCGGGGCAGGGUGAGUCGACCCCUAAGGCGAGGCCGAAAGGCGUAGUCGAUGGGAAACGGGUUAAUAUUCCCGUACUUGGUGUUACUGCGAAGGGGGGACGGAGAAGGCUAUGUUGGCCGGGCGACGGUUGUCCCGGUUUAAGCGUGUAGGUGUGUGUUCCAGGUAAAUCCGGUUCACUUUAACACUGAGGCGUGAUGACGAGGCACUACGGUGCUGAAGCAACAAAUGCCCUGCUUCCAGGAAAAGCCUCUAAGCAUCAGGUAACAUCAAAUCGUACCCCAAACCGACACAGGUGGUCAGGUAGAGAAUACCAAGGCGCUUGAGAGAACUCGGGUGAAGGAACUAGGCAAAAUGGUGCCGUAACUUCGGGAGAAGGCACGCUGACACGUAGGUGAAGUGAUUUACUCAUGGAGCUGAAGUCAGUCGAAGAUACCAGCUGGCUGCAACUGUUUAUUAAAAACACAGCACUGUGCAAACACGAAAGUGGACGUAUACGGUGUGACGCCUGCCCGGUGCCGGAAGGUUAAUUGAUGGGGUCAGCGCAAGCGAAGCUCCUGAUCGAAGCCCCGGUAAACGGCGGCCGUAACUAUAACGGUCCUAAGGUAGCGAAAUUCCUUGUCGGGUAAGUUCCGACCUGCACGAAUGGCGUAAUGAUGGCCAGGCUGUCUCCACCCGAGACUCAGUGAAAUUGAACUCGCUGUGAAGAUGCAGUGUACCCGCGGCAAGACGGAAAGACCCCGUGAACCUUUACUAUAGCUUGACACUGAACAUUGAGCCUUGAUGUGUAGGAUAGGUGGGAGGCUUUGAAGUGUGGACGCCAGUCUGCAUGGAGCCG